CCUACGGGAGGCAGCAGUGAGGAAUAUUGGUCAAUGGGCGCUAGCCUGAACCAGCCAAGUAGCGUGAAGGAUGACUGCCCUAUGGGUUGUAAACUUCUCUUAUAUGGGAAUAAAGUGUAGUAUGUAUACUGCUUUGCAUGUACCUUAUGAAUAAGGAUCGGCUAACUCCGUGCCAGCAGCCGCGGUAAUACGGAGGAUCCGAGCGUUAUCCGGAUUUAUUGGGUUUAAAGGGAGCGUAGGCGGGUUGUUAAGUCAGUUGUGAAAGUUUGCGGCUCAACCGUAAAAUUGCAGUUGAUACUGGCAGCCUUGAGUACAGUAGAGGUAGGCGGAAUUCGUGGUGUAGCGGUGAAAUGCUUAGAUAUCACGAAGAACUCCGAUUGCGAAGGCAGCCUGCUGGACUGUAACUGACGCUGAUGCUCGAAAGUGUGGGUAUCAAACAGGAUUAGAUACCCUUGUAGUC
RNAcentral lists this ribosomal RNA (460 nucleotides) under uncultured bacterium. Its description in RNAcentral is "partial 16S ribosomal RNA". It matches the Rfam family "Bacterial small subunit ribosomal RNA", at positions 338 to 795 of the family's 1533-position model. The record is from RNAcentral.